Molecule: ribosomal RNA, 301 nt
Filed under: uncultured bacterium
Lineage: Bacteria
Description: partial 16S ribosomal RNA
Rfam family: Bacterial small subunit ribosomal RNA
Source: RNAcentral
CAGUAGCCGCGGUAAUACGUAGGUGGCAAGCGUUGUCCGGAAUUAUUGGGCGUAAAGGGCUCGCAGGCGGUUUGUUAAGUCAGAUGUGAAAUCCCCGGGCUCAACCUGGGAGCUGCAUCUGAUACUGGCAAGCUUGAGUCUCGUAGAGGGGGGUAGAAUUCCAGGUGUAGCGGUGAAAUGCGUAGAGAUCUGGAGGAAUACCGGUGGCGAAGGCGGCCCCCUGGACGAAGACUGACGCUCAGGUGCGAAAGCGUGGGGAGCAAACAGGAUUAGAUACCCGUGUAGUCCCUGUCUCUUAUAA